GUCAGCUCGUGUCGUGAGAUGUUGGGUUAAGUCCCGUAACGAGCGCAACCCUUGUCCUUAGUUACCAGCACGUUAUGGUGGGCACUCUAAGGAGGACUGCCGGUGACAAACCGGAGGAAGGUGGGGAUGACGUCAAGUCAUCAUGGCCCUUACGGCCUGGGCUACACACGUGCUACAAUGGUCGGUACAAAGGGUUGCCAAGCCGCGAGGUGGAGCUAAUCCCAUAAAACCGAUCGUAGUCCGGAUCGCAGUCUGCAACUCGACUGCGUGAAGUCGGAAUCGCUAGUAAUCGUGAAUCAGAAUGUCACGGUGAAUACGUUCCCGGGCCUU
RNAcentral lists this ribosomal RNA (330 nucleotides) under uncultured Pseudomonas sp. RNAcentral describes it as "bacterial SSU rRNA". It matches the Rfam family "Bacterial small subunit ribosomal RNA", at positions 1054 to 1382 of the family's 1533-position model. Lineage: Bacteria; Pseudomonadati; Pseudomonadota; Gammaproteobacteria; Pseudomonadales; Pseudomonadaceae. The record is from RNAcentral.